GGCGGGCAGGCCGGCCUGCUGCGCCCGCAAGGCCAUGGGCCAGGGGGCACAGACAGACAGCGGGAGCUGGUGCCCUAGCUUGGGGAGGGGUCAGGCAAGGCCUUUAGAAAGCAGCAGCCUUGGGCUGGGCCUUGGAGGGUCCCACGCCCAGGGCUUUUUCUCACUUGACAGGCCAGUAGGGCCCUCCACCACCCAGACAACCCACGGGCAGGGAAGUCCUGGCUGCCGGAGCUUUUACUGAGCUGUGUGGCCUCAGUCUUCCCAUCCGUGAGAUGGGCUGUGACCGCGGUGUCCUCCCCCAGCGCUGGGUGGGGCUGCAAGCAGUUGGCAAGGUUCCACUCCUGCAGGUGGAUGGGCUAGGCUCUCUGGCGCCCCGGGCUCUGUGCGCAGGCUCAAGGGGGUGUCCAGAGCAGGCAGCUCCUCUCUGCAUUCCUGCUCCCGGGCAGCCUGGUGCCAGCCAUGCUGGCUGCUGGCACCCUCUGUGAUUAUCCCACCAGUCCCCACCCGGUUCAGCCUGUCCACCUGAAUGCACGCACUGAGGCCCUGUAAAAUUGAUGCAGACAAUCAGCCGCAUCAGACGUGAGGAGAGACAGCUCCCCAGGCACCAGGAGGGGAGGCGAGGCUCCGAGGCUUGCGGCUGCCGGAAAGCCCAUCGGGGCCUGAGCCAGCCCUUCCUUCCUGGGGGAGACGGCAGCCAGGGCCCUGCCCCUCAGAGAGCCUCUCCUCGGGGUUUCCUGCCGGGUACAACCGACUGCUCCCCGCUGGUCCCAGUGUGACAUGCAGCUUCCGGUUCACACUGGACCCCAAGAAUCCACUCCCACCAGCACCGUGGACAGAGGCUCCUCAGCCAGAGCGGGACUCAGGGGAUCUGGGGAGGGCCAGGCAGAACGGCCUCUCAGGACAGCAGCGCCUACACGGCCCACACCAGCACUGCCCAGCAGCCUUGCUGAAGACACCCGGACGUGGACGGCUACCUGCGUGCACAGCCACUGUGGUCGGCGCCUGGCCCACCCCGUCUGCCCUCCGCCCGAGGUCAGGGCAGACCACACGCCCUGGGUCUACCCCACCCCAGCAGUCCUUGAUCCCUGACAGCUCAGAAUAUUCUGCUUUCAGUGGACAAGUGAGCUCUCUCACUUCUUAUAUAUAUAUUUGGUCACAUCAUGCAGCAUGUGGGAUCUUGGUUCCCUGACCAGGGAUCAAAUCCACGUCUCCUGCAUUGGAAGCUCGGCAUCUUAACCGCUGGACUGCCAGGGAAGUUCCCUCAUUUCUCUUUCAAUAAAGUCAUCUCUGUGAAAAU
This is a long non-coding RNA of Cervus elaphus (red deer), 1297 nucleotides long. RefSeq lists it as uncharacterized. NCBI's taxonomy places the organism in Eukaryota, Metazoa, Chordata, Mammalia, Artiodactyla, Cervidae. The record is from RefSeq and is a predicted model, not a curated record. The transcript has 2 exons.